AUGAAGAAAAGCACUGAACUGAGGAGAGAUGGUUGGAGGAAGCCGCUUGAAGGUUUCGUGAAGUUAAAUGUAGACGCAUCUUUCAAAGCACACUCCCUCCAGGGAGUUGUAGGUGCCACCCUACGUGAUCAUAAGGGUGGGUUCAUUGCGGCGUCGAAUGAACAGCUGGAGCAUGUCGCAGAUGCAGGGAUGGCGGAAGCAUACGCAUUACGACAUGACUUACUAUUGGCGCAACAACUGGGGAUAAGCAAGCUUGUGGUUGAGUCGGACUGCCUUGAGGUGAUCAAUACUAUGAAUAAUGGAGGCUUCACGGCUUCAGGCGCAGUGGCAAUUUAUUCGGAUUGUUUGGUCCUGAUUAUAGGAUACACUUUGGUCACUUUUGUCCAUUUCCCUCGGGAGGCAAAUUCUGUAUCUCACGAUUUAUCUAGGCUGGCGAGGCCGUCCCCUUCGCUAUGGGUCGAGGAACCGCCGGCUUUCAUUGUAAAAGGUUUGGUGGACGAUGUAACAGUUAUAUGA
Molecule: ribosomal RNA, 516 nt
Filed under: Triticum aestivum (bread wheat)
Lineage: Eukaryota; Viridiplantae; Streptophyta; Magnoliopsida; Poales; Poaceae
Description: partial small subunit ribosomal RNA
Source: RNAcentral